CUGGGGGGACCCUGACGCACCACGCCNCGUGAGUGAAGAAGGCCUUCGGGUUGUAAACCCCUGUCAGGUGGGAAGAAAGUCUCGACGGAUAAUACCCGUCUUGGCCUGACGGUACCACCAAAGGAAGCCCCGGCUAACUCCGUGCCAGCAGCCGCGGUAAUACGGAGGGGGCAAGCGUUAUUCGGAAUUACUGGGCGUAAAGCGCACGUAGGCGGCGAGGCAAGUCAAAGGUGAAAGCCCUCGGCUCAACCGAGGAACUGCCUUUGAAACUGCGUCGCUUGAGUCCGGGAGAGGGGAGCGGAAUUCCCAGUGUAGCGGUGAAAUGCGUAGAUACUGGGAGGAACACCGGUGGCGAAGGCGGCUCCCUGGACCGGUACUGACGCUGAGGUGCGAAAGCGUGGGUAGCAAACAGGAUUAGAUACCCUGGUAGUCCACGCCGUAAACGAUGGGCACUAGGUGCAGCGGGUGUCGACCCCUGCUGUGCCGAAGCUAACGCAUUAAGUGCCCCGCCUGGGGAGUACGUGGCUG
RNAcentral lists this ribosomal RNA (528 nucleotides) under uncultured marine bacterium. RNAcentral's name for it is "bacterial SSU rRNA". It matches the Rfam family "Bacterial small subunit ribosomal RNA", at positions 372 to 890 of the family's 1533-position model. The record is from RNAcentral.